Long non-coding RNA from Oncorhynchus tshawytscha (Chinook salmon), 429 nucleotides. The record is from Ensembl. Lineage: Eukaryota; Metazoa; Chordata; Actinopteri; Salmoniformes; Salmonidae.
AAAUGAAGAAAAUAGGAGCAUAAUUGUAGGAGAAGACCCUCCCGCAGCUGAGAUGCUCAAGAUUUACAUGCUAAAAUUGCUACUGAUCUCAUGCGACAUCCACAAGAUCGUGUCCGAGGGGAAAUUCAACUUUUUCCGUUGAGAGCAGGGCAAGCAGGCUCUCACGACACAGAUAUUCAGACACAGACAGUGACUUUUUUCUUUCAAUUAUUGUUUUAUGUAAGAUGCUACAUUUUUGGCCAGUUGCAAUUGUAAGUGGGCCUAAUAAAAAAAAUCCCAUUUCUAAUAGGACAUAUAUUUUUUUGUGAAAUAUGUUGUUAAGCCUCGUAGCCGAUCUCCGUCAGUUACAUUAUUUUAUAUAGGCCUAGGCUCGGAAGAAAUAAGCCCUCUUGUUGUUUAUAAAGUCUAAUAAAUAAAAAAAAGAUUGUU